UCUCUGCCUUCUUAAGUGUAUUAAUACCAUUAUCAAUGGAGUGGGUUCAUUACCAUGAGAGUGGGUUUGGUAUAAAAGUGAGUUUGGUUCCCUCUUGUUCUCUCUCAUCCACAUGUGAUGUCUCUCCAUGUGAUACUUCCUGCCAUGUUAUGCUGCAGCAAGAAGACCCUCACCAGAUGCAGCCCCUCUAUGUUGGACUUCCCAGCCUCCGGAAGUUAGAAAUGUGCUACAACCACUCAAGGUCUGCAAACAGAUUCCUAUUUAGAUGUUGUUGAGAGUUUCGUUCUUGUCGCCCAGGCUGGAGUGUCAUUUUAAC
Long non-coding RNA from Homo sapiens (human), 316 nucleotides. RefSeq lists it as uncharacterized. The record is from RefSeq and is a predicted model, not a curated record. The transcript is spliced from 3 exons. Lineage: Eukaryota; Metazoa; Chordata; Mammalia; Primates; Hominidae.